AGCAGCCGCGGUAAUUCCAGCUCCAAUAGCGUAUAUUAAAGUUGUUGCAGUUAAAAAGCUCGUAGUUGAAUUUCGGGAUCAAUAUAUUGGUCAUGCUUAGGUAUGUACUGGUAUUAUUGAUUUCUCCCUUCUGAAGAACCAUGAUGUCAUUAAUUUGAUGUCGUGGGGAAUCAGGACUGUUACUUUGAAAAAAUUAGAGUGUUUAAAGCAGGCUUUCGCUUGAAUACAUUAGCAUGGAAUAAUGAAAUAGGACGUUUGAUUCUAUUUUGUUGGUUUCUAGGAUCGACGUAAUGAUUAAUAGGGAUAGUUGGGGGCAUUAGUAUUCAAUUGUCAGAGGUGAAAUUCUUGGAUUUAUUGAAGACUAACUACUGCGAAAGCAUUUGCCAAGGAUGUUUUCAUUAAUCAAGAACGAAAGUUAGGGGAUCGAAGACGAUCAGAUACCGUCGUAGUCUUAACCAUAAACUAAUGCCGACUAGGGAUCGGAUGA
Molecule: ribosomal RNA, 487 nt
Filed under: uncultured Glomus
Lineage: Eukaryota; Fungi; Glomeromycota; Glomeromycetes; Glomerales; Glomeraceae
Description: SSU rRNA
Rfam family: Eukaryotic small subunit ribosomal RNA
Source: RNAcentral